This 324-nucleotide ribosomal RNA is filed under the name uncultured Prevotella sp. RNAcentral's name for it is "bacterial SSU rRNA". It matches the Rfam family "Bacterial small subunit ribosomal RNA", at positions 354 to 675 of the family's 1533-position model. Lineage: Bacteria; Pseudomonadati; Bacteroidota; Bacteroidia; Bacteroidales; Prevotellaceae. The record is from RNAcentral.
UGAGGGAAUAUUGGGUCAAUGGGCGAGAGCCUGAACCAGCCAAGUAGCGUGCAGGAUGACGGCCCUAUGGGUUGUAAGCUGCUUUUAUAAGGGAAUAAAGUGAGCCUCGUGAGGCUUUUUGCAUGUACCUUAUGAAUAAGGACCGGCUAAUUCCGUGCCAGCAGCCGCGGUAAUACGGAAGGUCCAGGCGUUAUCCGGAUUUAUUGGGUUUAAAGGGAGCGUAGGCCGUUUUUAAGCGUGUUGUGAAAUACUGUCGCUCAACGACAGAGGUGCAGCGCGAACUGGAGGACUUGAGUGCGCGGAAUGUAGGCGGAAUUCGUCGUG